Molecule: transfer RNA, 71 nt
Filed under: archaeon GW2011_AR20
Lineage: Archaea
Also listed under: 1 other name
Description: tRNA-Val
Rfam family: tRNA
About the family: Transfer RNA (tRNA) molecules are approximately 80 nucleotides in length. Their secondary structure includes four short double-helical elements and three loops (D, anti-codon, and T loops). Further hydrogen bonds mediate the characteristic L-shaped molecular structure. tRNAs have two regions of fundamental functional importance: the anti-codon, which is responsible for specific mRNA codon recognition, and the 3' end, to which the tRNAs corresponding amino acid is attached (by aminoacyl-tRNA synthetases). tRNAs cope with the degeneracy of the genetic code in two manners: having more than one tRNA (with a specific anti-codon) for a particular amino acid; and 'wobble' base-pairing, i.e. permitting non-standard base-pairing at the 3rd anti-codon position.
Source: RNAcentral
GGGCUUAUAGUCUAACGGUAAAAUGCGACUUUCACGUAGUCGAGUUCCCGGUUCGAUUCCGGGUAGGCCCA